RNAcentral lists this ribosomal RNA (253 nucleotides) under uncultured bacterium. RNAcentral's name for it is "partial 16S ribosomal RNA". It matches the Rfam family "Bacterial small subunit ribosomal RNA", at positions 524 to 776 of the family's 1533-position model. The record is from RNAcentral.
UACGUAGGGCGCGAGCGUUGUCCGGAUUUAUUGGGCGUAAAGAGCUCGUAGGCGGCUUGUCGCGUCGGCUGUGAAAACUCGGGGCUCAACUCCGAGCUUGCAGUCGAUACGGGCAGGCUAGAGUUCGGUAGGGGAGACUGGAAUUCCUGGUGUAGCGGUGAAAUGCGCAGAUAUCAGGAGGAACACCGGUGGCGAAGGCGGGUCUCUGGGCCGAUACUGACGCUGAGGAGCGAAAGCGUGGGGAGCGAACAGG